This 299-nucleotide long non-coding RNA is filed under the name Homo sapiens (human). Its description in RNAcentral is "HSALNT0062567". The record is from RNAcentral. Lineage: Eukaryota; Metazoa; Chordata; Mammalia; Primates; Hominidae.
CAGGAGGUCUGCAAGUGUGUGGUUAGGUAAAAACUGAGCUGUGCAAACUCACUGUAUCCAAGCUCUUCUCAUGAGAGAGCAGAACAACCUGGCAAGCUUAAAGGCUAUAAACUCCAGAAUGGCAGGAAUUGGGCCUUGUUCUAAAUAAUAUUCUGAAGCACCUAUGUGUCAGAGGACAAAGCAAGUCUGGUAUGUUAAGCACCUAACCCAGGCAGUCUGAAAUCAAAGAGGUGGUGUUACGCAGCAGGACAAAGGGCUUUACAAUAGUUCUGUAAGAAAUAAGCAAAGCACAACUUCAU